UUAUUUUGAUAUUAUUUUUUAUUGUUGAAAAAAUUAAUAAUAAUUUAUUGUUAAUAAAAAUUAAAAUUUAUAAUAUUUUUAUUUUUAUUUUUUAGUUUUAAAUAAAAAUAAUAAAAUUUAUAUAUAUAAAAAUUUUGUUAUAAAUUAUAAUAGUUUAUUUGUUUAUUUUUUAUUAUAAAAAAUAGUAUUUUUUUUAUUUUUUUAUAAAAAAAAAUAAUUUAAUUAUAAUUAUUAGAAGUAAUUUUGUUAUUUAGAAUAAUAUAUUAAUAUAAAUAAAAAAAAUAUUAAAUAUUUUUUAAAUUUUUUGGGAAUUUAAAUUAUAAUUUUUUGUGUCUGCUCAGUGAAUUUAAAUAGCACUUUUAGCGUGAUUGGUCAAAGGUA
RNAcentral lists this ribosomal RNA (381 nucleotides) under Meloidogyne hapla. Its description in RNAcentral is "partial 16S ribosomal RNA". Lineage: Eukaryota; Metazoa; Nematoda; Chromadorea; Rhabditida; Meloidogynidae. The record is from RNAcentral.